AGAGUUUGAUCAUGGCUCAGAGCGAACGCUGGCGGCAGGCUUAACACAUGCAAGUCGAACGGACCCUUCGGGGUUAGUGGCGGACGGGUGAGUAACACGUGGGAACGUGCCUUUAGGUUCGGAACAACACAGGGAAACUUGUGCUAAUACCGGAUGUGCCCUUCGGGGGAAAGAUUUAUCGCCUUUAGAGCGGCCCGCGUCUGAUUAGCUAGUUGGUGAGGUAAAGGCCCACCAAGGCUACGAUCAGUAGCUGGUCUGAGAGGAUGGCCAGCCACAUUGGGACUGAGACACGGCCCAAACUCCUACGGGAGGCAGCAGUGGGGAAUCUUGCGCAAUGGGCGAAAGCCUGACGCAGCCAUGCCGCGUGGAUGAUGAAGGUCUUAGGAUUGUAAAAUCCUUUCAGCGGGGACGAUAAUGACGGUACCCGCAGAAGAAGCCCCGGCUAACUUCGUGCCAGCAGCCGCGGUAAUACGAAGGGGGCUAGCGUUGCUCGGAAUUACUGGGCGUAAAGGGCGCGUAGGCGGACAAUUAAGUUGGGGGUGAAAGCCCGGGGCUCAACCUCGGAAUUGCCUUCAAUACUGGCUGUCUUGAGUAUGGGAGAGGUGAGUGGAACUCCGAGUGUAGAGGUGAAAUUCGUAGAUAUUCGGAAGAACACCAGUGGCGAAGGCGACUCACUGGCCCAUUACUGACGCUGAGGCGCGAAAGCGUGGGGAGCAAACAGGAUUAGAUACCCUAGUAGUCC
Molecule: ribosomal RNA, 742 nt
Filed under: uncultured bacterium
Lineage: Bacteria
Description: bacterial SSU rRNA
Rfam family: Bacterial small subunit ribosomal RNA
Source: RNAcentral